UUUAGGACAAUUGGACAACGACUUUUAUUGAAGUUAAAAAGUAAUGGCAAUUGAUACAUUUUUAGAGUUAUGAUAUUUGGGGUGAGCUCUGAUAAUUAGUUGUAGAAGCUUUUUUUAUUUGUUUUUGUAUAGUUUUUUUAAUUAGACUACUAAUAUCACUAAGGUAUAAUAUUACUCAUCAUAAAAUGAGUCAAAUCAUAUUUGUCGAAACGAAACGAGUCAACAUUGUUAUUCGUCGAUUCGCCUGCGAGUGGAACACUCUUGUAGUUGAGUUUGUGAUGACAUGUUAUGGAAAUGAUUGAUGGAAGCAACAUUGAUAUGGAGGGUUGCUUGUAUGUAGUUUAUUUGACUUUGAUUAAAC
Molecule: long non-coding RNA, 361 nt
Filed under: Linum usitatissimum (flax)
Lineage: Eukaryota; Viridiplantae; Streptophyta; Magnoliopsida; Malpighiales; Linaceae
Description: long non-coding RNA (LUSI_LNC007869)
Source: RNAcentral